AUGCACAGCUCGCUCGCUCGGCAGGUGGGCCCGCCGAUCCGGCCUGGCUGCGCGGACCAGGCCCGCCGCGAUCGAUCCGGUUCGGUCCGGUGCCACGCCGAGGCCGCGCCGCCGGUGUCCGUCGCUAGGACGGGGCCGUACACCGGGAGGGACCCGGAGGUGAAGAAGCCGGCGUGGCUGAGGCAGAGGGCGGCGCAAGGGGAGAAGUACGCGCGGAUGCGGGAGUCGCUCGGCGAGCUCAAGCUCAACACCGUCUGCGUCGAGGCCCAGUGCCCCAACAUCGGCGAGUGCUGGAACGGAGGGGGAGGGGCCGGCGGGGAAGGGGACGGUAUUGCCACGGCGACCAUUAUGGUGCUCGGCGAUACUUGCACGCGCGGUUGUCGAUUCUGCGCCGUGAAGACCAGCAACAAGCCUCCGCCGCCGGAUCCCAUGGAACCUCUGAACACGGCCUUGGCCGUUGCAAGUUGGGGAGUAGACUAUGUUGUGCUGACAAGUGUUGAUAGAGAUGACUUACCUGAUGGGGGAAGUGGCCAUUUUGCUCAGACAGUGAGAGCUUUGAAGGAGCUCAAACCUGGGAUAUUGGUGGAAUGCUUAACCUCGGAUUUUCGAGGUGAUCUGGAGGCUGUUUCCUCUUUGGCCGAUUCUAAUCUAGAUGUCUUUGCGCACAACAUUGAAACUGUGAGGAGUCUGCAGAGAAUUGUGAGGGAUCCUCGAGCAGGAUAUGAGCAGAGCUUAGCUGUUCUAAAGCAUGCAAAAAUUUGCAAAGAGGGGAUGAUAACCAAGUCUUCUAUCAUGCUUGGUCUUGGGGAAACUGACGAGGAGGUGAAACAAGCCAUGAUUGAUUUAAGGGCAGUUGGUGUUGAUAUUCUCACAUUGGGCCAAUAUUUGCAGCCAACAGAAAAACAUUUGACGGUUAGGGAGUAUGUGACGCCUGAGAAGUUCCAGUUUUGGAAGGAGUAUGGUGAAUCGUUGGGUUUUUGUUAUGUUGCUAGUGGACCUCUGGUCCGGUCUUCGUACCGUGCAGGAGAGCUCUUUGUCGAGAAUUUGGUCAGAAAUAAGAAGUCUAAGCCUGCAUCGGCCUCCUCUUAA
Molecule: ribosomal RNA, 1089 nt
Filed under: Triticum aestivum (bread wheat)
Lineage: Eukaryota; Viridiplantae; Streptophyta; Magnoliopsida; Poales; Poaceae
Description: partial small subunit ribosomal RNA
Source: RNAcentral